RNAcentral lists this ribosomal RNA (472 nucleotides) under Streptococcus gordonii. RNAcentral describes it as "bacterial SSU rRNA". It matches the Rfam family "Bacterial small subunit ribosomal RNA", at positions 28 to 474 of the family's 1533-position model. The record is from RNAcentral. Lineage: Bacteria; Bacillati; Bacillota; Bacilli; Lactobacillales; Streptococcaceae.
GACGAACGCGGGCGGCGUGCUUAAUACAUGCAAGUAGAACGCACAGUUUAUACCGUAGCUUGCUACACCAUAGACUGUGAGUUGCGAACGGGUGAGUAACGCGUAGGUAACCUGCCUGGUAGCGGGGGAUAACUAUUGGAAACGAUAGCUAAUACCGCAUAAUAUUAAUUAUUGCAUGAUAAUUGAUUAAAAGGUGCAAUUGCACCACUACCAGAUGGACCUGCGUUGUAUUAGCUAGUAGGUGAGGUAACGGCUCACCUAGGCGACGAUACAUAGCCGACCUGAGAGGGUGAUCGGCCACACUGGGACUGAGACACGGCCCAGACUCCUACGGGAGGCAGCAGUAGGGAAUCUUCGGCAAUGGACGAAAGUCUGACCGAGCAACGCCGCGUGAGUGAAGAAGGUUUUCGGAUCGUAAAGCUCUGUUGUAAGAGAAGAACGGGUGUGAGAGUGGAAAGUUCACACUGUGACG